ACACAGAUCUGAUGUCAUCCCCGGGAGAAAAGCUUGUGAGCUCACCUAAAGAAAAGGGGGAUCUUAGAACUCACACACCGAGAACUGUCAGAUAACACGGGCUAGAGAUCAAGCCGCGGCAGCUGCCUUCCACAGCUGCCGCCUUGCAGCUGCCUCUCUAAGCAGUUAGUGGGGCUAAAAAUAACCAGGAGCUAAGGCGCAGCAAGCUACCAAGCCUUAGAAAGAAGUGUGGGGAAGGAGAUUGCGGAUGGCAGUCUGGGGCCUCUGAGUGGAUGUCAGAGGGAUACCCACCCGCGGGCGGCAUCAAAGGCCGUCAGCACUCCAUGUGUCUGGGUAUAUCAAACCUCCUGCUGCCACUUCACAACUGGUAGCCCAAGCUAUUGCCUACUGACUGCAUCUCGUUUCUAAUCUCAGCUGUAAUCCAAGUCGCCUUGAUGCCUCAGGGAAACAAAAGUAACAAAGUAGGAAUGAACAGCUUCCUGUUUGUACUCUAAACCUGAACCAAUGGCCUGAGCAGCAAGUGUGCAGGGCCGGGAUACUCUGCAGAGGAUGGCCCUGGAGGUCUAGCUGGUCAUGAGACUGACAGGACUGACUCCUUACAGACCUGUGGGUUUCCUGUGGACUCUUGCUGUGGCUCUCGUGUACUCUCAUUACAGGGUCCUCUCUGUAACGUAGGCUAACCUUGAACUCCUCAUCCUACCUGCCUCCAGUUCCCUAGUACUGGGACCACAGGCAUGCCCCACUCCAGCCAACUCAAGGCAUAGUUAUCUAUGAAAUAAAGCUGUUGGAUUAU
This 793-nucleotide long non-coding RNA is filed under the name Mus pahari (shrew mouse). Its description in RNAcentral is "lncRNA (MGP_PahariEiJ_G0032902.1)". The record is from RNAcentral. Lineage: Eukaryota; Metazoa; Chordata; Mammalia; Rodentia; Muridae.